GACNUUCGGCUGCAUGGCUUGAGGGUGGAAAAGGUUUANUGGUGCAGGANGGGCCCGCGGCNUAUCAGCUUGUUGGUGGGGUAAUGGCCUACCAAGGCGACGACGGGUAGCCGACCUGAGAGGGUGACCGGCCACACUGGGANUGAGACACGGCCCAGACUCCUACGGGAGGCAGCAGUUUGGGGAAUAUUGCACAAUGGGCCGAAAGCCUGAUGCAGCGACGCCGCGUGAGGGAUGACGGCCUUCGGGUUGUAAACCUCUUUCAGCAGGGACGAAGCGAAAGUGACGGUACCUGCAGAAGAAGCACCGGCCAACUACGUGCCAGCAGCCGCGGUAAUACGUAGGGUGCAAGCGUUGUCCGGAAUUACUGGGCGUAAAGAGCUCGUAGGCGGUUUGUCGCGUCGUCUGUGAAAACUCGAGGCUCAACCUCGAGCUUGCAGGCGAUACGGGCAGACUUGAGUACUGCAGGGGAGACAUGGAAUUCCUGGUGUAGCGGUGAAAUGCGCAGAUAUCAGGAGGAACACCGGUGGCGAAGGCGGGUCUCUGGGCAGUAACUGACGCUGAGGAGCGAAAGCGUGGGUAGCGAACAGGAUUAGAUACCCUGGUANGUCCACGCCGUAAACGGUGGGCCGCUAGGUGUGGGUUUCCUUCCACGGGAUCCGUGCCGUAGCUAACGCAU
This 679-nucleotide ribosomal RNA is filed under the name Tsukamurella sp. PR-N15. RNAcentral's name for it is "bacterial SSU rRNA". It matches the Rfam family "Bacterial small subunit ribosomal RNA", at positions 173 to 860 of the family's 1533-position model. The record is from RNAcentral. Lineage: Bacteria; Bacillati; Actinomycetota; Actinomycetes; Mycobacteriales; Tsukamurellaceae.